RNAcentral lists this ribosomal RNA (491 nucleotides) under uncultured bacterium. RNAcentral describes it as "partial 16S ribosomal RNA". It matches the Rfam family "Bacterial small subunit ribosomal RNA", at positions 29 to 506 of the family's 1533-position model. The record is from RNAcentral.
AUUGAACGCUGGCGGCAUGCUUUACACAUGCAAGUCGAACGGUAACAGGCCUUCGGGUGCUGAUGCUUGGCGAACGGGUGAGUAAUGCAUCGGAACGUGCCCAGCGGUGGGGGAUAACGCAGCGAAAGCUGUGCUAAUACCGCACGUGAUCUGAGGAUGAAAGCGGGGGACCAGGCAGCAAUGUUUGGCCUCGCGCCUUUGGAGCGGCCGAUGGUCGAUUAGGUGGUUGGUGGGGUAAAGGCCUACCAGGCGGACGAUCUGUAGCUGGUCUGAGAGGACGGCCAGCCACACAGAGACUGAGACACGACCCAGACACCGACGUGAGGCAGCAGUGGGGAAUGGUGGACGAUGGGCGCAAGCCUGAACCAGCAAUGCCGCGUGCGGGAAGAAGGCCUGCGGGUGGUAAACCGCUUUUGUACGGAACGAAAAGGCUCUGGCUAAUACCUGGGGCUGAGGGCGGAACCGUAAGAAGAAGCACCGGCAAACUACGG